AAUAGAGUUUGAUCCUGGCUCAGGAUGAACGCUGGCGGCGUGCCUAAUACAUGCAAGUCGAGCGAAUGGAUUAAGAGCUUGCUCUUAUGAAGUUAGCGGCGGACGGGAGAGUAACACGUGGGUAACCUGCCCAUAAGACUGGGAUACUUCCGGGAAACCGGGGCUAAUACCGGAUAACAUUUUGAACCGCAUGGUUCGAAAUUGAAAGGCGGCUUCGGCUGUCACUUAUGGAUGGACCCGCGUCGCAUUAGCUAGUUGGUGAGGUAACGGCUCACCAAGGCAACGAUGCGUAGCCGACCUGAGAGGGUGAUCGGCCACACUGGGACUGAGACACGGCCCAGACUCCUACGGGAGGCAGCAGUAGGGAAUCUUCCGCAAUGGACGAAAGUCUGCCGUUCACGCCGCGUGAGUGAUGAAGGCAGGGGCUCCCUCUGUGUUAGGGAAGAACAAGUGCUAGUGAAUAAGUCGCGCUGAUAGAGUGUAGAGAUAUUGGC
RNAcentral lists this ribosomal RNA (494 nucleotides) under Bacillus pacificus. Its description in RNAcentral is "bacterial SSU rRNA". It matches the Rfam family "Bacterial small subunit ribosomal RNA", at positions 1 to 492 of the family's 1533-position model. The record is from RNAcentral. Lineage: Bacteria; Bacillati; Bacillota; Bacilli; Caryophanales; Bacillaceae.